RNAcentral lists this ribosomal RNA (377 nucleotides) under uncultured Prevotella sp. RNAcentral describes it as "bacterial SSU rRNA". It matches the Rfam family "Bacterial small subunit ribosomal RNA", at positions 355 to 729 of the family's 1533-position model. Lineage: Bacteria; Pseudomonadati; Bacteroidota; Bacteroidia; Bacteroidales; Prevotellaceae. The record is from RNAcentral.
UGAGGAAUAUUGGUCAAUGGGCGAGAGCCUGAACCAGCCAAGUAGCGUGCAGGAAGACGGCCCUAUGGGUUGUAAACUGCUUUUAUGCGGGGAUAAAGUGUGGGACGUGUCCCUUAUUGCAGGUACCGCAUGAAUAAGGACCGGCUAAUUCCGUGCCAGCAGCCGCGGUAAUACGGAAGGUCCGGGCGUUAUCCGGAUUCAUUGGGUUUAAAGGGAGCGUAGGCCGCCUUUUAAGCGUGUUGUGAAAUGUCCUGGCUCAACCAGGGCACUGCAGCGCGAACUGGAGGGCUUGAGUGCGCACGACGCAGGCGGAAUUCGUGGUGUAGCGGUGAAAUGCUUAGAUAUCACGAAGAACCCCGAUUGCGAAGGCAGCUUGC